This 897-nucleotide ribosomal RNA is filed under the name uncultured bacterium. Its description in RNAcentral is "bacterial SSU rRNA". It matches the Rfam family "Bacterial small subunit ribosomal RNA", at positions 1 to 925 of the family's 1533-position model. The record is from RNAcentral.
UUCGCCCUUAGUUUGAUCAUGGCUCAGGAUGAACGCUGACAGAAUGCUUAACACAUGCAAGUCGACUCGAGUCUUCGGACUUGGGUGGCGCACGGGUGAGUAACGCGUAAAGAACUUGCCUCUUAGACCGGGACAACAUCUGGAAACGGAUGCUAAUACCGGAUAUUAUGGUUUUUUCGCAUGGAGGAAUCAUGAAAGCUAGAUGCGCUAAGAGAGAGCUUUGCGUCCCAUUAGCUAGUUGGUGAGGUAACGGCCCACCAAGGCAAUGAUGGGUAGCCGGCCUGAGAGGGUGAACGGCCACAAGGGGACUGAGACACGGCCCUUACUCCUACGGGAGGCAGCAGUGGGGAAUAUUGGACAAUGGACCACAAGUCUGAUCCAGCAAUUCUGUGUGCACGAUGACGUUUUUCGGAAUGUAAAGUGCUUUCAGUCGGGAAGAAGUCAGUGACGGUACCGACAGAAGAAGCGACGGCUAAAUACGUGCCAGCAGCCGCGGUAAUACGUAUGUCGCAAGCGUUAUCCGGAUUUAUUGGGCGUAAAGCGCGUCUAGGCGGCAAGGAAAGUCUGAUGUGAAAAUGCGGAGCUCAACUCCGUAUGGCGUUGGAAACUGCCUUACUAGAGUACUGGAGAGGUAGGCGGAACUACAAGUGUAGAGGUGAAAUUCGUAGAUAUUUGUAGGAAUGCCGAUGGGGAAGCCAGCCUACUGGACAGAUACUGACGCUAAAGCGCGAAAGCGUGGGUAGCAAACAGGAUUAGAUACCCUGGUAGUCCACGCUGUAAACGAUGAUUACUAGGUGUUGGGGGUCAAACCUCAGCGCCCAAGCUAACGCGAUAAGUAAUCCGCCUGGGGAGUACGUACGCAAGUAUGAAACUCAAAGGAAUUGACGGAAGGGCGAA